Molecule: ribosomal RNA, 307 nt
Filed under: Streptocephalus mackini
Lineage: Eukaryota; Metazoa; Arthropoda; Branchiopoda; Anostraca; Streptocephalidae
Description: partial 12S ribosomal RNA
Source: RNAcentral
GGGUNNUACUUUUAACCUAAAGAAUUUGGCGGUUUUUAAACUUACUAGAGGAACCUGUCCUGUAAUCGAUAGUCCACGAAAUUAUCUACCUAUCUUUGUUAUCAGCUUAUAUACCGCCGUUUAGUGAAUUAAAUAAAUAACUUCCCUUAAUUAAUUAGUUAAAUAAAUCAGGUCAAGGUGUAGUUUAUAGACAGGAAGAGAUGGGUUACAAUAAUAAUUUAUAACGGACCGUUCACCUUGGGGUGAAUGCGAAGGUGGAUUUAGAAGUAAAUUUUAAUAGUUUGAAAUAAGCUCUUAAAAAUGUACA